This 133-nucleotide ribosomal RNA is filed under the name Tomentellopsis submollis. RNAcentral describes it as "28S ribosomal RNA". It matches the Rfam family "Eukaryotic large subunit ribosomal RNA", at positions 1 to 134 of the family's 3401-position model. Lineage: Eukaryota; Fungi; Basidiomycota; Agaricomycetes; Thelephorales; Thelephoraceae. The record is from RNAcentral.
GACCUCAAAUCAGGUAGGACUACCCGCUGAACUUAAGCAUAUCAAUAAGCGGAGGAAAAGAAACUAACAAGGAUUCCCCUAGUAACUGCGAGUGAAGCGGGAAAAGCUCAAAUUUAAAAUCUGGCGGCCUCCG